GAUACACCUGUACCCAUGCCGAACACAGAAGUUAAGCUUCUUAGCGCCGAUUGUAGUGAAGGGUUUCCCUUUGUGAGAGCAGGACGUCGCCACGC
RNAcentral lists this ribosomal RNA (95 nucleotides) under Enterococcus lemanii. RNAcentral also lists the same sequence under 1 other name. The record is from RNAcentral. Lineage: Bacteria; Bacillati; Bacillota; Bacilli; Lactobacillales; Enterococcaceae.